CUGUUUCUCGAGCCCCACGCCCCUGCCAUCCUUAGGUCUCCCACGCACGCAAGGCUCUGCCCACACUCUCGGCCUCAUCUCCCAUCGUCCCACGGCGGCGACGCCCAACUGCACGUCCGCCUCCUGCCAUUCUUCUCGUCGACGUCGUAGGAUUAGGAGCGGGGAAACAACAUCCAAGGACCACGGCGGUGUGCCGGUGUGCGCAGACGGGGCUGCAGCCCCAGCGAUCUGCAUCCGGUGGAUCGGUGGCAUCGUGAUCUGAAGCAAGGAGAUAUUGAUGUUGGGAUCAUCGUUGAGGGGAGGGGCUGGAGCUGUUGGAGGCGAAGCAGAUCGCGUCGCUGGGCGGCCGGGGAAGGUCGAGUGCUCGUCGACUCGGCUUCUGAAAAAGAGGAUCACCCUCAUAGGUGCAGGCGGAUGAGUGGAGUCGCCCGGCUGAGGGCUACAGAGGAAGUCGAAUUCGAAGCACCACGGCCGCCUGAUUCUGCUACCCUGAUGUGUUCUUUCCUUCUGUUUUUCUCAUCGCUUCCCACAUCUGUUGUAUGUCUCUUGAGCUCUUGGCAGGGAGGAGAAAUUACUUUACACGGGAACGCAAGAUACAUGGAGAAGGAUGCACAUGGACCGCUGCUAGGAAGGUUGGCUGUUCUGAAACUAGCUAUUUCUGUUUUCCAUUUGUCUAAACGUUGCUCUAUUCCAGCUUGUAGCUGCAUCGUCAAGAUAUUCAGGUUCCUCGUGUUUCCUACAUGUUUGUUUCCACAUUUACCUUUGAUUACAGCCUCAACUGUACUGACACUACUUACUAUUGAGGGAGAGUUCAUACUGUUUGGAGAAAUUGGAGAAGCACUUGCUGGUAAACAGGUAGGCCUUCACAUACUGCAUCAUCUCGUAGUGCAGCUUUUGGAUCCAAAUCGGCAUGGAGAUGUUCCCUUUUUGUGUUUCAUCACCACAUUUGGGUUGCAGGCGCACCGAGAUAUAGAUAUUUACACUGAUCGGCAGUCUAUGGUUCUCUCUAGACUUUUUAGAUAGAUCUGUAGCAAAUGUGGUGAUUUAGGCCCUGGCCCGCAUUUUGGUGGUUUUUUCCUUGACUAAUUCAGUGAAAUUUUUAUAUAGUGUAUUCUCUAUUCCCUACUUAAUCACAAAAAAAUAUAGCCAUUCAUUCAUGUACGUGCAAUUGUGACUUGCCGGCAAGAGUCAAUUUAUUUUGUUCCACUGAAUUCACAAGCCACACAGAGUGCAUCAGUUCAAUAAAAUAGACGUGGUGCAUGUUUACUCGAAAUUUUUAAUCAUCCAUGUUUCCUUGCACUGCAAUAUGCAAUUGUGAUUUUAUUCUCAAGGCUUAUCUUGUGGUUUCAGAAGGCUCUCCUGUACGCCACCAUGACCAGGUUGUUUCAUGGAUACAACAAGUGAUGAGACACACUUCUUGGCAGCGUUACUAUGAUACCUGUUCUUCUAUUUUCCUUGCUUUACUGAACUUAUUUUGUUCUCCUUUGUAGUAGCAUGAUUGGAGGCUAGAAAGAAUAUGCGCUUCAAUUAUGGUAUGUGCCGUAAGUAUAGUAUGUGAAGCUGGCUGCAUUUUAGAGAUUGAACAACACGUGCCUCAUGUUUGCAGAGAAUGAGGACAACAUACUUUGCAUAAAAAUGUAUAAUUUAUUAUCAUUUUUGUUCAUGUUCAACAUUUUUUUGUCUCUCUCCAUGGAAAGAUCUCAGUAUUUCAGUAAAUAAGACAUAGAUAACUUUCAGAUUCAUAAAACAAGGGUUUUGUUCUUUGCGUCGCAUUAAAAACUUGAUUAAGGAUUAAGUUAUAGAACUUUGUGUGUCUUAUUUACACUACGAGAGCAACCUGUACACGCAAAAACUUUAAGUUAUAGAGCUUUGUGUGUCCUGUCCAACAGUAGAACCAUUUGUUUCUCCUGCCCAAGUUUUAUUAUUAUUGUUACUUGCGAUGUCAUGCUACAUCUUACGUAAAAAGAUGAACCAUUUUUUUUCUCCUGAUACACCAAGAAGUUUUUGUGUGUACAGGUUGCUCUCAUAGUGUAAAGAACCCAUGUUGAUGCCUUAAGUCCAGCACGCAUGUCACACUCAUGUCAGCAGCAGAACGGGAAUUAGUCCUCAACCAAGGUUUCUGAGAAGGAGUAGUCAGUCGUCACAUGGUGAGUUGAACCACGAAAUUGACAAGGUUGAGAAAUUGUUCUUCUGGACGUUUUGAUCUUCUACCUUUAGGGAGGCGAUGGAACCGAGGAAUGUGUUCAUAGCUAGCGACAUUGGUUAACAAUAUAAAUUGAUUGCGAGGGUUAGAUUCUUUUGAGCUGAACUAAUCGAUGAUGAGGGGAUGAGUUUCCUGGAAAGACGAACAUGCAUAUUGGCAGGCCAACGUCGAAGACAGGUACCUCCAGUGACCUGAUGCCAACGUCGAAGACAGGUACCUCCAGUGACCUGAUGAAGAUUCUGACCGACAACUUCCACAUAGAAGACCGGACUAGGCGUGCUAGCAGAAUGAACAAAGAGAACGACGACGAACACUCAGAAGAAUUGACCAAAUCAUACGACAACAAGAGCAACCGAGAGAAAAUGAAAUUGGGCCGUGAUUGGGUUGAUGAGAUUGGGCUUCAACUGUGCGGCAAGGAGGAUGGGUUGCAGAUUCAGAUUAAUCCAUGUCCAUUAAAAAAUCAAGCUAAGCUGCGUGUACCCAUGUAGGAAUGUAUGUGUUGUAAUCUGGUCACUAGCAUAAGAAUCAUGAACCGUGGUGUAACAUUAACUUCAGUUUUUUUUCUGUAGCCCUGUUGACUAUGGAUACCUAAUCUGAAUGGACUUACUACACUGUUCUAUCAAACUGUAGAAUGGCACCUCAAAAGGUAUGUUCCAUGUAUUAUGAGAAAUACUGGAACCUUUAACUUAAAUA
Molecule: non-coding RNA, 2896 nt
Organism: Lolium perenne
Lineage: Eukaryota; Viridiplantae; Streptophyta; Magnoliopsida; Poales; Poaceae
Source: RefSeq, a predicted model, not a curated record